Long non-coding RNA from Alosa alosa (allis shad), 790 nucleotides. RefSeq lists it as uncharacterized. The transcript has 3 exons. The record is from RefSeq and is a predicted model, not a curated record. Lineage: Eukaryota; Metazoa; Chordata; Actinopteri; Clupeiformes; Clupeidae.
UUCCUAUGUUUCCCGUAUCAGCUGGAUGCAGAGCUGCUCAUUAGGAGGUGGGAGUCAUCAUUCAUCCCCAAAUUGAGGAAGAUUGCUGCUCUAGAGAAGGGAGUCGUGUUCUCCUUACUUGAUCAGGCUGGAGACCAGAAUGAUGUACAUUACAGAUUCUGACUCACCUACUUCCACCAACUGCGUCAGGAAGGGGAUCAGCCUCAACCCGAUGCAGUGUGAAGUCGGCCAUUUCUUUCCUGAUCAACUUUGUGCCGCAUGGGACGAGCAUCUCCUCCCUAUGCACUUAUGAUGAGGGGUCUUCAAGGACGCAGCCAGAGCUUGUCUGCAUCGGUCGAGCCCAGCACGACAGUUCGUCAUUGUUUCCAGAAAUGACAGUCACAAUUCCACUGCAUGAUGACAGCUUAACCUUUAGACAAGCUCUUCAAGUUCUACUGGGUAUGCAACGUUGCUUAUCCUGCUCAGCUUGCAUCAGUUUUCAUGUUUAUUGAACAUAUGUAUGACUUGCCAGUGACAAAGACUGUUAGACGACCUAAAGUUUGUGUGUAUUGUAUUAUCUGGUAUGUGUUCUCAACUGAAUUUUAUGAAUGCUUUUCCUGUGAGUAAGUGAUGAACUUUUUUAAGGGACCUGCUGUCCUCCUGGGUUGGGUUGGGUUGGGGGGCAGGAGGGUUAAAAAUGUUAAAAUGUUAAUGUUUUGUAUUAAGCCUAGAUAAAGGUAUUUUUAUGAAUAACUUGAAGGCAAUGUUAAUGUUAACACAUGAAAAAUAAACAUUCCAAAGUAUUUUUCAA